UUUCCCGUACGAUCAGCGAAGUAAAGCAACGUCGAGUCUGUUCAGUACCUAGAUGAGUGACCGCUUAGGAAUACCAGGUGCUGUAA
Molecule: non-coding RNA, 86 nt
Organism: Acanthosepion pharaonis
Lineage: Eukaryota; Metazoa; Mollusca; Cephalopoda; Sepiida; Sepiidae
Source: the annotation of a GenBank genome assembly